RNAcentral lists this ribosomal RNA (494 nucleotides) under uncultured bacterium. RNAcentral describes it as "partial 16S ribosomal RNA". It matches the Rfam family "Bacterial small subunit ribosomal RNA", at positions 28 to 507 of the family's 1533-position model. The record is from RNAcentral.
GACGAACGCUGGCGGCGUGCUUAACACAUGCAAGUCGAACGGUGAAGCGCCUUCCUUUUUGUUGGGUGGGGAUGAGUGGCGAACGUGUGAGUAACACGAGAGUAACCUGCCCCCUUCUUCUGGAUAACCGCAUGAAAGUGUGGCUAAUACGGGAUAUUCUGGGUCUGUCGCAUGAUGGGUCUGGGAAAGAUAUUGUUUCGGUGGGGGAUGGGAUCGGGGCCUAUCAGCUUGUUGGUGGGGUGAUGGCCUACCAAGGCGGUGGCGAGUAGCCGGCCUGGGAGGGUAGACGGUCACAGGGGGACUGAGACACGGGCCAGACUGCGACGGGGGGAAGCCGCGGAGAACAUCGCAAGAUGGGAGUAAGGAUGAUGGAGCGACGGGGGGUGAGGGAUGGAGGCGUUGGGGUUGUGAACAUCUUGCGCCAGUGAAGCAGGACUGCCUUGUUUGUGGGGGAGUUGACGGUAGCUGGAUAAGAAGCGCCGGCUAACUACGUG